This 244-nucleotide ribosomal RNA is filed under the name uncultured Staphylococcus sp. Its description in RNAcentral is "partial 16S ribosomal RNA". It matches the Rfam family "Bacterial small subunit ribosomal RNA", at positions 96 to 334 of the family's 1533-position model. Lineage: Bacteria; Bacillati; Bacillota; Bacilli; Caryophanales; Staphylococcaceae. The record is from RNAcentral.
CGGCGGACGGGUGAGUAACACGUGGGUAACCUACAUAUAAGACUGGGAUAACUCCAGGAAACCGGGGCUAAUACCGGAUAAUACAUGAAACCGCAUGGUUUCAUGAUGAAAGACGGUUUUGCUGUCACUUAUAGAUGGACCCGCGGCGUAUUAGCUAGUUGGUAAGGUAACGGCUUACCAAGGCAACGAUACGUAGCCGACCUGAGAGGGUGAUCGGCCACACUGGAACUGAGACACGGUCCAG